This 460-nucleotide ribosomal RNA is filed under the name uncultured bacterium. RNAcentral's name for it is "partial 16S ribosomal RNA". It matches the Rfam family "Bacterial small subunit ribosomal RNA", at positions 338 to 795 of the family's 1533-position model. The record is from RNAcentral.
CCUACGGGUGGCAGCAGUGAGGAAUAUUGGUCAAUGGACGAGAGUCUGAACCAGCCAAGUAGCGUGAAGGAUGACUGCCCUAUGGGUUGUAAACUUCUUUUAUAUGGGAAUAAAAUGUUCCACGUGUGGGAUUUUGUAUGUACCAUAUGAAUAAGGAUCGGCUAACUCCGUGCCAGCAGCCGCAGUAAUACGGAGGAUCCGAGCGUUAUCCGGAUUUAUUGGGUUUAAAGGGAGCGUAGGUGGAUUGUUAAGUCAGUUGUGAAAGUUUGCGGCUCAACCGUAAAAUUGCAGUUGAAACUGGCAGUCUUGAGUACAGUAGAGGUGGGCGGAAUUCGUGGUGUAGCGGUGAAAUGCUUAGAUAUCACGAAGAACUCCGAUUGCGAAGGCAGUUCACUGGACUGCAACUGACACUGAGGCUCGAAAGUGUGGGUAUCAAACGGGAUUAGAUACCCGAGUAGUC